CAGGGUGUCGUUCGCGAACGUAAGUCAAGUUGGUGUAAUUUCAUAGCGUGGCAGCGCCAUCGGAGGAAUAAGCGUUUGGCGCCGCGUGCAGUUGAUUGUGACGUAUGAUACUCGUACAUUAUGCACCUCGCGCUUCGUCUCGGUUUCGAGUUUCGACAUUUUUCUCGGUGCUUUAUUACACGCUCGAGAUAUUUCUGCUCCGCGGUAAUACAUCCGUGGAGAGCGGACACGGACAAGUGCGUUCGUGUACACACUUUUCUACAAUCUAUAACGCAGUGCAUUGCCAUAUCUGCAAAAUAAAUGCAACAAGUUAAUGCACGAAAGUUUUAUCCCAGUUUUUUACCGACGAAUUUUACCGUGCAGAGAUGUUAUAUUAACGUAGGAAACUCUCUGUUAAAAAGUUAUAACGAGAACAGGAAAUUUGGACUAUUUUGUCUUUUGGUAUCACAGCAUUCUGGUAAACACAGAGAGAAGUGUAAUUAUGCGUGGUUUUAAAGAGCAAAACAGUCCCUUGUCAUUUCGUUUUUAUUUUUGACAGUUUAAGUAUUUUGUCAAUAAAUUUUUAUGGAAUAUUGCUUCAUGCAUAUUUUUUUCGAGGCUCUAAAAUCCCAAAUAAAGUUUAAUACAUUCAACUGCAAGAAC
Megachile rotundata (alfalfa leafcutting bee) is the source of this 642-nucleotide long non-coding RNA. RefSeq lists it as uncharacterized. Lineage: Eukaryota; Metazoa; Arthropoda; Insecta; Hymenoptera; Megachilidae. The record is from RefSeq and is a predicted model, not a curated record.